UACGGGGGGAGCAAACGUUGUUCGGAAUCACUGGGCUUAAAGCGCGUGUAGGCGGGACGGCGAGUGUCGGGUGAAAGCCCUCGGCUCAACCGAGGAACGGCCUGGCAUACUGCUGUUCUUGAGGUAGACAGAGGUCACUGGAACGACGGGUGGAGCGGUGAAAUGCGUAGAUAUCCGUUGGAACGCCGGCGGCGAAAGCGAGUGACUGGGUCUGUCCUGACGCUGAGACGCGAAAGCGUGGGUAGCAAACAGG
This 253-nucleotide ribosomal RNA is filed under the name uncultured bacterium. RNAcentral's name for it is "partial 16S ribosomal RNA". It matches the Rfam family "Bacterial small subunit ribosomal RNA", at positions 524 to 776 of the family's 1533-position model. The record is from RNAcentral.